RNAcentral lists this ribosomal RNA (550 nucleotides) under uncultured archaeon. Its description in RNAcentral is "bacterial SSU rRNA". It matches the Rfam family "Archaeal small subunit ribosomal RNA", at positions 223 to 775 of the family's 1478-position model. The record is from RNAcentral.
GAUCAGGCUGUUGGUGAGGUAAUGGCCCACCAAACCUGUAACCGGUACGGGCUCUGAGAGGAGGAGCCCGGAGAUGGGCACUGAGACAAGGGCCCAGGCCCUAUGGGGCGCAGCAGGCGCGAAACCUCUGCAAUAGGCGAAAGCUUGACAGGGUUACUCUGAGUGAUUUCCGUUAAGGAGAUCUUUUGGCACCUCUAAAAAUGGUGCAGAAUAAGGGGUGGGCAAGUCUGGUGUCAGCCGCCGCGGUAAUACCAGCACCCCGAGUGGUCGGGACGUUUAUUGGGCCUAAAGCAUCCGUAGCCGGUUCUACAAGUCUUCCGUUAAAUCCACCUGCUUAACAGAUGGGCUGCGGAAGAUACUAUAGAGCUAGGAGGCGGGAGAGGCAAGCGGUACUCGAUGGGUAGGGGUAAAAUCCGUUGAUCCAUUGAAGACCACCAGUGGCGAAGGCGGCUUGCCAGAACGCGCUCGACGGUGAGGGAUGAAAGCUGGGGGUGCAAACCGGAUUAGAUACCCGGGUAGUCCCAGCUGUAAACGAUGCAGACUCGGUGAU